This is a long non-coding RNA of Triticum dicoccoides, 764 nucleotides long. RefSeq lists it as uncharacterized. The transcript is spliced from 4 exons. The record is from RefSeq and is a predicted model, not a curated record. Lineage: Eukaryota; Viridiplantae; Streptophyta; Magnoliopsida; Poales; Poaceae.
ACCUGGGCUCCCUCUUCUUCCACGGCCACAGCCUGGGGUUGCUGCCGGCUAGACGAAUAAUUACGUGCAGGCUGCCACGACAAAGGGUUUGACUCCUACACCAAUCUCAUCAAGGCUGCUGUUCUUGACACUCCUGAUGUUGUUUUUCAGAGCAAUGCCACGCUAAGAACGGUCUCAGAUCUGUGCGGCGGAGUGUCUGCACAGGCACACCAGGUGGAGAUCGACCACAAUCAUCUGAGCAACCCAUAGAGCAGCAGAUUGACCCCAGAGUACCAGGGUGGACGUUUAGGUCAGCUAUGCAUUUUUGUGUGGUUCAGAAUUAUAUGAUGACCCAUCUAAGUCUGUGGUUACACUUUGGUACAAAUGCACAGUCAGGAUUGGGGCUGAAGCAGGCAGAGCGCCAUGCCAAAAUAGGAUUUCAGCAAUGGAGAAAUCAAUCCGGGGGUUUGCCGAACAUCCUAGUGACAAUGUCAUUGUGCCAAAAUUAGGGACUAGCUUCCACACACUGGGUGAAGCUUACGAUUUUUACAAUCUGUAGUCAUGGGAGAAAGGUUUUGGCAUCUCAAAUUUCUUCCUUUGAAACAGACGCUCGAUGCAAUAAGUGAGUCGUUGAUCGACCUCCCAAUGAUGGAAGUAGCACUGUGUUUGGUGAGAGGUGGGAUGAACUGCCUGGAAGAAAAUUAUGUUACCCUUGCAAACUAUGGAUAAGGGGUGUCAUCCGGUACCCUCUCAGCCUUCAGUCUCCGAACUUAUAUUACAGUUUU